GAGCUUGGCGGUGUUUUAGACCUCUCAGGGGAACCUGUCUCAUAAUCGACAAUCCGCGUUAAACCUAACCUUUGAUAGCAAUUCAGCCUGUAUACCGUCGUCGUCAGGUAACUUCUUAAAAUAUAGUAGUUAGCUUGAGAAUUUUAUUAAUUAAAACGUCAGAUCAAGGUGCAGCUAAUGAAAGGGUGAGGAUGGGUUACAAUUACACAUUUGUAAAUACGGAAAACAUUUGAAAUAAUGUCUUAAAGGAGGACUUGAAAGUAAUUUUGAUUAUAUAAAUAGAAUGAAUAGGGCUCUGAAACGUGCACACACCGCCCGUCGCUCUCGUUGAAAAAUGAGAUAAGUCGUAACAUAGUAGGGGUAAUGGAAAUUGUUCCUAGGC
RNAcentral lists this ribosomal RNA (382 nucleotides) under Conus guanche. RNAcentral describes it as "partial 12S ribosomal RNA". It matches the Rfam family "Microsporidia small subunit ribosomal RNA", at positions 783 to 1304 of the family's 1311-position model. The record is from RNAcentral. Lineage: Eukaryota; Metazoa; Mollusca; Gastropoda; Neogastropoda; Conidae.